AAAACUUUCAACAACGGAUCUCUUGGUUCUGGCAUCGAUGAAGAACGCAGCGAAAUGCGAUAAGUAAUGUGAAUUGCAGAAUUCAGUGAAUCAUCGAAUCUUUGAACGCACAUUGCGCUCCUUGGUAUUCCGAGGGGCAUGCCUGUUCGAGCGUCAUUAC
This 160-nucleotide ribosomal RNA is filed under the name Candelariella kansuensis. RNAcentral's name for it is "5.8S ribosomal RNA". It matches the Rfam family "5.8S ribosomal RNA". From Rfam's summary of the family: 5.8S ribosomal RNA (5.8S rRNA) is a component of the large subunit of the eukaryotic ribosome. Lineage: Eukaryota; Fungi; Ascomycota; Candelariomycetes; Candelariales; Candelariaceae. The record is from RNAcentral.